Molecule: ribosomal RNA, 492 nt
Filed under: uncultured bacterium
Lineage: Bacteria
Description: partial 16S ribosomal RNA
Rfam family: Bacterial small subunit ribosomal RNA
Source: RNAcentral
AGUGAACGCUGGCGGUAGGCCUAACACAUGCAAGUCGAACGGCAGCACAGUAGAGGCUGCCCCUACGGGUGGGCAGUGGCCGAACGGGUGAGAAAAAAACCGGAUUCUCCUUUUUCUGGGGGAUUAAGUAAGGAAAACUACGCCUAAUACCCAUGAGACCCACGGGUUAAAAGCGGGGAAUCUUGGAACCUUCCGCGUUUGAUGAGGCGGAGGUCGGAUUUGCUAGUUGGCGGGGUAAAGGCCCACAAAGGCGACGAUCCGUAGCUGGUCUGAGAGAAUGAUCAGCCACACUGGAACUGAGACACGGUCCAGACUCCUACGGUAGGCAGCAGUGGGGAAUAUUGGACAAUGGGCGCAAGCCUGAUCCAGCCAUACCGCGUGGGUGAAGAAGGCCUUCGGGUUGUAAAGCCCUUUUGUUGGGAAAGAAAAGCAGCAGGUUAAUACCCCGCUGUUCUGACGGUACCCAAAGAAUAAGCACCGGCUAACUUCGUG